ACAGAGGAGCCAAGCGUUGUCCGGAUUGACUGGGCGUAAAGCGCACGCAGGCGGUCGCGCGCGUGGGGUGUGAAACCUGGCGGCUUAACUGCCAGACGCCAUCCCAUACGGCGCGACUCGAGCCAUGCAGAGGUCCAUGGAAUUGCCGGUGUAGUGGUGAAAUGCGUAGAGAUCGGCAGGAACACCCAGGGGGAAACCAGUGGACUGGGCAUGUGCUGACGCUCAGGUGCGAAAGCGUGGGGAGCGAACCGGAUUAGAUACCCGGGUAGUCCACGCCGUAAACGAUGAAUACUCGGCAUCUGGCGGGCGAUUUUCGUCCGCCGGGUGCCCCAGCUAACGCGGUAAGUAUUCCGCCUGGGAACUACGAGCGCAAGCUUA
Molecule: ribosomal RNA, 378 nt
Filed under: uncultured bacterium
Lineage: Bacteria
Description: bacterial SSU rRNA
Rfam family: Bacterial small subunit ribosomal RNA
Source: RNAcentral